RNAcentral lists this ribosomal RNA (376 nucleotides) under uncultured bacterium. Its description in RNAcentral is "bacterial SSU rRNA". It matches the Rfam family "Bacterial small subunit ribosomal RNA", at positions 29 to 406 of the family's 1533-position model. The record is from RNAcentral.
AGUGAACGCUGGCGGCGUGCUUAACACAUGCAAGUCGAACGAGAACGGGUCUUCGGACUGUCAGCUAAGUGGCGCACGGGUGAGUAAUGUAUAGUUCAUCUGCCCUUUAGAGGGGGAUAACAGUUGGAAACGACUGCUAAUACCCCAUACUCCUCUCUAUGUAGUGUAGAGAGGGAAACGAAUUUCGCUAAAGGAUGAGACUAUAUGGUAUCAGGUAGUUGGUAGGGUAAAAGCCUACCAAGCCAAUGACGCCUAGCUGGUCUGAGAGGAUGAUCAGCCACACUGGAACUGAGACACGGUCCAGACUCCUACGGGAGGCAGCAGUGGGGAAUAUUGCACAAUGGAGGAAACUCUGAUGCAGCAACGCCGCGUGGAG